UCAAAACAUUGGAUCAUCAGAUCAUCA
Molecule: non-coding RNA, 27 nt
Filed under: Mus musculus (house mouse)
Lineage: Eukaryota; Metazoa; Chordata; Mammalia; Rodentia; Muridae
Source: RNAcentral